Molecule: non-coding RNA, 402 nt
Filed under: Motiliproteus sp. MSK22-1
Lineage: Bacteria; Pseudomonadati; Pseudomonadota; Gammaproteobacteria; Oceanospirillales; Oceanospirillaceae
Description: RNase P RNA component class A
Rfam family: Bacterial RNase P class A
About the family: Ribonuclease P (RNase P) is a ubiquitous endoribonuclease, found in archaea, bacteria and eukarya as well as chloroplasts and mitochondria. Its best characterised activity is the generation of mature 5'-ends of tRNAs by cleaving the 5'-leader elements of precursor-tRNAs.
Source: RNAcentral
UGAUGUUACAGGAUGCUGCCAUUGAUGUCUUGCGCUUUUCUCUCUUGUGUUGGUACGGAAACUGGUACAGAAUCGUGACCUAAAGACGUGUAUGCGUAGCUUAGUGUUAACGCUGAGUCGAACCCCUGGGGGGGCGUGAGCCUACGGAAAGUGCAGCAGAGAGUAGACCGCCUAAGCAGGUCUUUCGAGAUUUGCCGGUAAGGGUGAAAGGGUGCGGUAAGAGCGCACCGCGUGGGUGGUAACAUUCCACGGCAUGGUAAACCCCACUUGGAGCAAGACCAAAUAGGAAUCCUUUUCGUGGCCCACGUUGGAUUCGGGUAGGUUGCUUGAGGUCUGUGGUGACGCAGACCCUAGAUGAAUGACUGUCCACGACAGAACCCGGCUUACAGGUGGGCUCGAUUA